Long non-coding RNA from Brassica rapa (field mustard), 8394 nucleotides. RefSeq lists it as uncharacterized. The record is from RefSeq and is a predicted model, not a curated record. NCBI's taxonomy places the organism in Eukaryota, Viridiplantae, Streptophyta, Magnoliopsida, Brassicales, Brassicaceae.
AUUUUGCUGAUAACAAAGUGAGAUUAAAUAGAGAUAACAUAUAAUAUAUAAGGAAGACCAAAAAAUAAAAAUAAAAAGUAAAAGGGUCCAACAACCUUUUAUAAGUAAAUUUUUAAAGACUGUUUACUUUUUAAUAGUAUAGAUUAAAAUAUUUUCGUAGUAUAUUAUUAUUAUUUUUUGAAGAACAUUAUUUUAUAAAAAAAACUAUUAUUUUAGACAGAAAAACUAUUCUGUUAAUAGAAUUUUAUUACGAUCAACCACCUCUCAUGUCAUUUUUAAAUGAUCAUAUCAUAUUAUUUUAUAAAAUUUAUUUUACCUGUAUAUAAAAGGAAUUGUCAAAUGAAAUUUCUUUAGCAAAACAAUGUUACCUUCUUUUUGUUAUUAAUCCAAACUUGAUUUUACUAUGUUUUUUUAAAUAUAAUAUAUGCAUCUGUUUAAUUAACAGAAUAGCUCUUUAUAAAAGAGCAGCUGAAAUUUUGAAGAAAUAAAAAUUAAAUUACCUUCGUUGAUUUAUGACAUAUACUGUACACAUUACGUAUUUUUAGGCCCAUACACAUGUACAUGUCGUUAUAUAUCUGUUCACACUUUUUAAUUUAGCUGAAAAUACAACUCGAUUUUUCCAAUGAUAUACAACUCAGAAUUUGUGUUUGGCAGCGAGAGACCUACGGUACUCACAAAUAGAGUGAGCUGAGUACAAACUAAUCUCACUUCAUUUGAGACUACAGCAAAUAUCGAAAUUAAAUUACUUUAUAGUAUGGUGAUUUCUAGACAUUAAUUAUUUUCUGCGACCAGCGGCAAAUAAACUAUAACAUAUAUAUGUUCUGACGUCAACUGAUGACCUUUCACAUGUGAAAUAAUUUGGCACUAGGAUUAGAUCCGCGCUUUGCGCGGGGUGAGAUUUUUUAAAAUUUUUUAAAAAUUAGGUUAUAAGAUGAAUAUUACUGAUAUGUGGUGGGGUUUUUAUUAAGAGAUAUAGGAUUUUUGUUUUUUCGUUAUAUAAGUAUUUAUAGAUAUUGGAAGAUUAAAUUGUAUUUACAGUCAAUGAUCUUUCUAUAAAUAUUUUUGUUUAUUACCGAGUAUGUGAUAUAUUUUUAGUAAGACAAAUAAAAUAGCAUACCAUUUUUUUGGUAACUAAUCUUAUUAAAAGAUUUAUAUUUGAUUAUUGUAAAGACUUUAACACAACUUAAUAGAACUUGGAAUUAAAAAAAAUAUUUCUCACAACAUUUAUGUAAAUUAUAUUGUCGUAACAUAUAUAACAUAAUAGAUGAGUUGAAUAAUUAUAAUGGGCCAUAAUAAUAAACAAAUAAAUUGAAAGGCCCGAUUAUAUUUGUUCCUUAAUUAUGAUUGUCCAAUAUUUGAGGGGAAAAGCAAGUCAUUGUCUUAACACAAAUUGCAGAUAUAUUGUUUCCCAAAUUUUUUUAAUUUUUCCCAUAUUUGCCGUUCCCGAAUCGACUGUUUCGUUUAUCACCGUCACAGACGAUUCCAAAGCGAUCUUCUGAUUUAUCUCUCUGUGCAAUACGUAUUCCCGUUCCAAACCUAAUCAAUAACAGCAAUCGAAGGUUACUGGUCUUCCACAGAGUAAACAAUCGAUUCAGAAAAUGAGAAGCUAUAAGGUUAGUCAAGUUGAUAAUAUUUUGAGAUCUGUAAAAUCAAUUAUCAAUUGCAGGGAGUUUCAUUUGUUUCGGUAUUUAUUUUUCAAUCGGGUCUCGAAUAUAGGUUGAAAUCUGACAUAGCUUUCACAGAAAACCUAAAUCCAUCGUUUACCUAUAUGAUUUCAACAAAUCUAAAUUCUAUUUAGGAGUAUCUAUUUGAAUUCAAAUGCUUGAUAAAAAUGUUAAAAUUUAAUGAUUGUUUGCUUGAUUGAAAUAGAAUUUUUAUGAUUAGUAUUAAAAAUUCUUUGCUUGAUAUGAGUAUACUUAAACAAUCAAGCAAAGCAAAACUUUGUGAAUUAUCCUUAAAUGUAUUUGAGUUGACGAUAUAUUUUAGUUUAUAUUGAAUAAGAGUUUCACAUUGCAGAGAAAGAUUGAAGAGGUGGGAACUAAGGGUGUUUUUUCAGACAAUAGGACGUCUACUAAUAAGGUUAGCAUCAACUGUAUUGACACAAUAGUGAGAUAAUUAAUUAUACGACCCAGUAAAGGACGCACUUGUGAAAAAUUAACUAUCAUUUAGCAUUGUAAAAAUAGAGAUCAAAAUAAAUUUAUCUUAUGUUAUAAAACCCAGGAACAUUAUAAAGCAAAAUCAAAAACUGAAAGAAAAAAACUGAAAACGAUAAAAUGUAACACCAAACGUCCUCCUCAUUAUCCCUUCGAAUGCUUGUUGCAAGACAUCAAUAAGCAUUUGGUGGAAUCCUGUUAAAAAAAGGACAAUUUUUUUUAACAAACAGUAGAGAUCUUUAAUGAUAUGAACAAAAUCGUGUUUUGUAAAGAUAUUAAUGCUCUUACAGCUGACGAAAAGCUAUAAUCUCCGGAAUAUUGGGUUCGAAUUCAAUCCUCGAACAUCCUUCAAUGUUCGUGAUGAAUGUGAAUCGACCUAAUGAAACAUAAAAAAAAUAUUUUGGUAAACACGUAUAAUUUAAGAACCAAUUUUACAGCGUAUAAAUUAAGUAUAAAUUUAACAGGUUUAAAACAAAAUUUAUACCUUGGAGCCUUUCGAUUUGCCAAAAACUCAAGACACACAAAACAACAUUUGCUCUUGUAUAAUUCCAGUAAGCAUCAAUCUCAACAGCGUUCCUUCCAUAUGCAACACAGUUUAGAUGUUUAUACCUGUAAUGUUAAGAGUCAUAUCAUCUUAGGAAAAUAGUAAAUGUAUUGUGUCAUAAACAAUGGAUUAAAGUAACACUUGAACUCACCCAGGAUUGACCAAGCUAAAACGCAUUUUUGGUAUCAUUGGCCCUCCAGGGGCUCCAACAUGUUCUAGAUCACCAACACUCACCAUAGCUCCGUAGACGUCUAUUGAAUAGAGUAAACAUAAGUGAUAUGGGAUAACACAAUGUAAAACAUAAAUAUACAUAUGAAAGUGUCAAAGAAAUAUUAUUAACAUAAGGAAAUUUGACGUUUAAACUUUUAAAAACAACAUACCUACAGAGUACAUAGGAUGUGCAAGGCCUCUCAAUAUGGUUUUAAAUUCUUUAAAACCAUAAUAGUUGCAAUCAGUUCUUGCUGGGACGUUAUUAAUAAUAGUAUUCUCACCAGUAAAUACAUGGAAGCGGUUUGUAGUAACCCUAAACCGGCGGAAAUUAUACAUUAGUUUGAAACCAUGGAUCUCAUACCAUUCUCCUUCAAACAUGAUGCAUUCAUUUCUGAUCAUUAUUUCAUCGACAAUAGUUCCUAGAACCGUGUUACCCUGUAUGCAAACAUAAAAUUAACAGUUAGAAAAACGACCAAAAAAAAUAAUACAGUAUAAACGGUAAUAAUAUCAAUCAUACUUUUUCAUCACCCAUUAGCAUUUGAGUUUCCCCACGGAUUAUUGCAGAACCAUCCUUCCAUUUACUGAUUACCUUCACUCUGACUACAGGAUUUUUGAGGGGGAGCUCAAAUUCAGAGAAAAACAUGAUAGAGCUCAUGAGGAAAUUGUAAGUUGAAAGAGUUUGAUCUUUUUGCUUUUUACUCCGAGUUAUUAACAUAUAUAUAGGAUACCAACUAUAGGGCAUCGUAAUAUUAGACUUAACAUAUUGUAUUUUCCGAAAUUUAUUGCAUUCAGUACGCGGAGGGAAGAGUAUAUACUUUUCGCUUGCGAAGCAAGUUGAGAUCGUCUGGUAUAUAUGUUACAAUAAAAUUUCUGUCCAAAUUAAACAAUAAAUCUUGAAUAUAUUGUAACACAUUAGAUUAAGUUUACUUAUUUAGACACGUUAGAUUAAGUAAACUAAUUUAGAUACAUGGGUGGCUAUAACAGUAAUAUAAAUCUAUACGUAUGGUAUUUUUGAUACAGAAUGCCAAAAACGGAUAUUGCAAUAAAAGAAUUUUUGAUUCUAUACUAUGUUGGAGGAAGGUAUAUAAAUAUAAGUUUAUGUAGUCAUUCUUUUCGUUUUAGUAAACCAAAUAGGGAAUAUUAGUAUAGUCCACCUUAUAGAGCCCAUAUUAAGAACCCACUAACUUACUUCACAAUUCGGUUACCGGUUAGAGAAGCUACAAUAUAAUUUAGGUUACACCAUUCUCUACAACCAGACAUUAAACCAACAGUUAGUUAAAUAUCGAAUAUAUAGAUGAGUUACCGAAACUGUAUUGUUAUGUGAAUAGCUGGCGUUCUGCGCCCAAAAAUUAGAAGUGCAAAAUAAACUAAACUGGAAAUCGCAAAAGUAGACAAUGUUGCAUAAGUCAGUGAUUUAUUUAGGUUCAACUCUAACUUUUGUACAUCCAAAUAUUUAUGGUUUGUUUAGCACACGAAAUGAUAAUUUGUUAAAAAAUUGUUUCGGUUUACAAAACCAACUAAGAUAUAUUAAGAAUUUAAUCGAAUAUAAUUUCUUUUUUUCCAACCCCUGCUAAACAUUAAAAAAACUUAUUCUAUUAUGACAGGCUUAAAUAAAGAAGCAGGAAGUUUUGAUAUAAAGUCAAGCGAAGGAGCAACUUCACACCUUGAGUUCACCAUGCAUCCAACGUACAUGAAAAUUAUUAGGACUAAUCCUCUUAGUGAAGGGCAACCGUAUUGAUGUUGAGUUGGACUCUUAUCUACAAUUGACUGAAUCUCCUAAAUCCGUUCAUUGGAAGCACAACUUGUAAGUUUUAUAAAAUUACGGGAAAAUAGAUUCAGGUGCGGAACUGACAAUGGUAGAUAGGACUAAAAACCGGAGAGCAUAUGAAGCGUUGUUUAGUGAUUAUGGAACAAUAAAGAAAAAUUUCUUGUUUAUAGAUACUAAUAUAUAAGCAGAACUUUGCACCGUCAAAAAAAAAAACAAUUUUAUGCAACCAUAUUGAAACAAAAGAGGCUUGCCAUUAAUUAUAAAACACCAACAUAAGUAUCGAAUAUGAAAAACACAACAUAAAUAUUUAAAAAAACUAACAUAAAACUUAGAAGUUGCGAAAACAUAGUUAAACAAAAGCAGAAGCCUCUAUCUUAUAAGAAAGCAUUGUACCCACUUCAGCCACUUUUAGCAAACUUCUCCUUCUUAAUCAUCAUGGAACCGGUACUCCUCGUAACAGAAUUCUGGUCAUUGAUUUCUUCCAAUUCAAUAUCGACUGCCCUAACACGUUUAGCAGGAGUCAGAUCGUCAGACUCAAACUGCUCAGAAGCUGAACCUUGAUUAGCAAGAGAGGCCUGCCGAUAUUAACCAAAUGUAAAUUAAAAAAAAACCCAUGACAUAUGUGUUAUAGCAAAUCUAUUACGGAUCUAUUACGGAUCGCCAACUAAGUAAGGAUGGCCACAAACCUCUGGUGCAUCGGAUUGAGUAUCCAUAUCAUGAAAUACACCUUCGCUUCCCUGAUAAUGUCGUUUAGAAUAGGUGAGAAAUAAUUAGAAAUAUGCAAUUAGGACCAUGUAAGUAUCAAAAAUAGAACUCCACGUACAUCUCGACAGUUGCUUUCUUCAAAAUCUUUGAUCAAAUCUUUGUUAGUGAUCACCUUCAAAACCUUGUAGGUAUCAUGUUUGUAGACAAAGUUCUCCCUCUCGAUUUGAAUUUUGAAUAAGCACGUUUUGCCAAUGAUGGUGUUAAGAACCGGAGGCAGCACAUUGGUUUCCUCAAUCUACAUUGAGAUAAAGAAGAAAGUACUUUAUAUUUAAGUUAACAGAGAUGUAAGGCGCGGGUCUUAAACGUUUAAAUAUGAUCUAUAGGAUCUGAAUCACUACCUCGACUUUUUCUGACGGACCAGCAAUCUGCAAGCAUGGCUUGUUUACCAGUUGCACAGCAAGACUAUCGAACACCAUUAGUUUUGUGUUGCUUGUGUUAUCAAGCACAACUAAAUGCAAUUUAUACCUAUAAGAUUUGUUAUUACAAUUAGUUACAGGAUGUUAAUAUUCAUAUAACACAUAAAAACAAAACUGAAAUUUUAAAAAGUACCUUGGAACUGUGACAGGAUUGUAAGCGUUACACUUUACACAAUAAUAUGUGUGCUUCAGAUCAUCAUCGUCAUUACCAUCAUCGUCCUUGACCGCAUAAACGGUCGAGACUUUUUUAGAACAGACUUUGCAGCUCAGAUAAAACCACCCCAUAUCAGAAUCAAUACCAGCGAUGGUGCACAUCAGAAUACACUUUUCAACCUAUUCAGACACAAUAUAGGAACUAUAAUGAGAUAAAAAAAGUAUAAAUAGAUAUAUAUAUAAGUUGUAAAACUCAUUUUACACAAUAAACAUCUAAAAUUGAAACCAUUAUUUUGAAAACUAACCUGUUUUGUUUCCUUCAUUUCAGCAAUGGUUUUUCUUGGUGUAUGGGUAAAGAAAUCAUCUUUAUCCGAAACACCUUUCGCAAUAGCCGCGUACUUAGACUCCACGAUGGCUAAAGGGAGCACAUCUUUAGGCAAACUACAAAAAAUUAAAACCAAUAAACAAUAUAUCAAAGCAAACACUGAAUAUCGAGUCAAUACAUAAAAGUUGUUUAUAUAUUGCAAAAUAUUGUAACAUACCUAUCAGUGAACUUUCCAACUUCAAUCAUUGGAAGAUUCAAACCUAAUUCACUCAUAUUGUAGGCAUUGCUGACACUUCUUUCUUCUGUUGGAAAAAGCAGCAUGUCAAUGAAUCUACUAUGGGUAAUUUAGUUUUCAAUUUAUAGAGGCAUACUUACCCUUCCACUCUUUGAUUUUCCCAAAUCGUAAAACCAAAAUGGUACAAUGCUCAUCUCGAACCUGCAUCGCCUCAUUAACAUCACAGGCGAAUUUACCCCAAAGAACAACCGGAAGUUUAUCAUCGCUGCAAUACAAAACAAAGUAACAACGUUUAAAUAAAAAAGCAAAUCAGGAUUAGUAUAAAUAAAAUAAUAAACGAUCAAUUUUAAAUAACAAAAACUUACUCCGAAUUGCGCAACUGUAAAGAAAUCUUCUCUGUUUCUUUCCCAUUGACAUUUAGAUGUUCAAGAUGACUGAUUUCAAUAAUCUGCCCGAUUAAAUCUGAAAAACAGACACAAAUGUCUAGGUUAAAAUUGCUAAAUAGAACCAUUACGCAUAAGUGAUAAUUCACGAUAACUUACCAACCAAGAAAUCGGCUGAAAGAGUACCAUCUAGUACUUCUUUGAACUUCACUGGCUCAAAACCAGAUAAAUCCUCAGGCAGUUGCUCACAUGGUCGUACACGUGUUGUGGACAGGAAGCUAAUCCGGUAAGCAUGAUUAGUGGUUCUGUAGGAACCACAGGCAUGCGUGACAACAAAAUUGAUCAACUUCAAAGACUGUCCUUGUCUUAGGAAGUGAUCGAAUUGUGCAACCAACUCCCUUUUAACCGAUGCAUGAAUCUUAGCACCCUAUGUAAAUAGCAAAAUAGACAAAAGACUUUCAUAAACGAAAUAAAGGACUAACGUAAAGUACUUUAAAGGCGUCCAAAGAAUCCCGUACCUUAACAUCGCAAAGAACCAUUUCAAUAGUUUCACCUCCAGCAGCUGAGUAUUGUUUCCACAACCGGAUGACUUUGACAUUGAUCUUCCACAUAGUUUUGAAAGGCUUAACAUCAGCGACUGGAUUGAUAGACAUGGUUUCUAAGCUGUGGAUUUUUUUUUUGCUUGUUUGCAAGUUGAUGUGUGAUUCGAUGAGUCGGAGCAUUGUUUAUAUAUAUGUCGUGUCUAGGUUUAGGAGCCAUAAUAAUUACCAGAAAAGGGUCAAAGGAAACUACAUAUUUUAUUUUCCUUAUCUCAUAUAUCACAUUAACAUCCAUGAAACCUUGGUGUCGAAGCAAACGUGAUGGCCACUCCAUCGUUAAAUGGUACUUAAAGUUAAAUAUUAUUUUUUCUUUAUCUUCUUUUUAUUACAUUAAUGAUUGCAAAUUUCGUUCCUAAACUAAGUCUCAAAAAUAUAGGAUAAAAGUGAUGGCCAAUCGAACAUUUAAAGAAAUCACAUAGUUCCAAAGUUAAAUGUAUACCACGACAUAUACUUACAACCUUAUUAUAUGUAAUCGAAUAACCACAUUACAUGUGACAAUAUUAAAAUUUUUUUAUGGUGGCAAUAGAAAUCCCCUAUAUAUUGUAACAUGUAAAUCUACAUAAUAGUUAUCAAGAUAAAUAUAUAAACACAAUUUGCAUUUUUUAAAAACAUUUCAUUACGGAUUGACCAAAGUUGUAAUGUCAUGGACCGAGAAUAUACAUACUAAAUCACUAUAAUAAACUGACUUUUCCGGAAAAAUAGAUUCAGGUAUGGAAUUGACAAUGGUAGAUAGGAUUAAAAACCGGAGAGCUUAUGAUGCGUUGUUUAGUGAUUAUGGAACAAUUGCAUAAAUAUUUCUUGUUUACGGAUACUUAUAGAUAAUCAGAACUUAACACAGUUGAA